GCUAAACGCGAAGAACCUUACCUAGGCUUGACAUAUAGUAGACAGCACUAGAGAUGGAGCCUUCCUUCGGGACUGCUAAACAGGUGCUGCAUGGCUGUCGUCAGCUCGUGCCGUGAGGUGUUGGGUUAAGUCCCGCAACGAGCGCAACCCUUGUCAUUAGUUGCCAACAGUUGAAGCUGGGAACUCUAAUGAGACUGCCUGGGUUAACCAGGAGGAAGGUGAGGAUGACGUCAAGUCAGCAUGGCCCUUAUGCCUAGGGCUACACACGUGCUACAAUGGCCGGUACAGAGGGCAGCCAACCCGCGAGGGGAGCAAAUCCCAAAAAACCGGCCCCAGUUCAGAUUGUAGUCUGCAACUCGACUGCAUGAAGUUGGAAUUGCUAGUAAUGGCGUGUCAGCUAUAACGCCGUGAAUACGUUCCCGGGUCUUGUACACACCG
This 438-nucleotide ribosomal RNA is filed under the name uncultured bacterium. Its description in RNAcentral is "bacterial SSU rRNA". It matches the Rfam family "Bacterial small subunit ribosomal RNA", at positions 954 to 1392 of the family's 1533-position model. The record is from RNAcentral.